RNAcentral lists this long non-coding RNA (3446 nucleotides) under Podarcis lilfordi (Lilford's wall lizard). Lineage: Eukaryota; Metazoa; Chordata; Lepidosauria; Squamata; Lacertidae. The record is from RNAcentral.
UCCCUGGGUGACUCCUAAAUCCCCUUUCGCCCCAUAUGCAUUAGAUCCCACUUUCUGCCCAAAUAUGAGGACUAGAUCUUUAGCUAAAAGCAGUAUCUUAUCCAAAUUUUGACUAAGUAGUUGCUCACUCUUUCUAGAAAGCUGAGGAAUCCUGCCUUCUGGAGUUUCUGACCUGCUUGCUUCAUUCCUCUUAAAUCAUACACUUCUCCCCAAGUUUGGGAUCUUUCCCCUUCCCUUGCAGUGAUAUGGAAACAGCAGUAGUGUAAGUGGGGGAGGGAGUACAGAGCAUAAUGCGCUCUUGCCAAAGGCUCCACUAUGGAGAAGGCCCAGAGGGAAGACGGGCACUUCCUUGGGCACUGCCUGCCCUUUCCUCUCCACAAUCCAACAGAGAAUUUCUUGGGGAUCAUAGUUGGGGUCUCCUGUGCACAUGAACUGCUACUUAAUAAUGGCUCUGAGAAAUAGGACCCCCUAGUUAAUUAUUCUCCCAAAGUAGGCCAUAUACCUCCAAUCAUACAAUCCAUAACUGCCACCUUUCCAAGCCCCCCUCCCCAAAAUUACAUAUGUAGCGUUGACUGUUCCUCCUGUUCCAUCUCCUAGUUACCAUUUCCCUAUGAGGUCACCCAUGCCUCUUUUAAAGAACCCAGGAGAACUGGUCCAGUUCCCCUACCUUGAUAAAUCCUUGAAGCCCCCAUUUUCCCCUCCUAGAGCGCCCAAGAGUCCUGGCUCCAGAUCCUUCUCCCCAUAACUGUUCUCUUUCUCCCUACCCCCCCCCCCCACCAAUCAAGUAGCUUUAGUUCCCCCACUUACCCAGAGCUGGGACAUGAAUCUAUGAGGGCCGCCCACGUGAGGAGCUGAGAACGGCAGCACAGAUACCCCCCUCCCACCCAUAAUUGGAGAGGAGAUCGUGUUUCCUGCCUCCCCGCAACAUCAUCAUUAUGGAAGACAUUCUAAAGUUUUGUUUGUUUCGUUUCGCUCCCUUGUUGGGGUCUGUGGACAGGAGGUGCCAGUGCGGCCAGUCCGACGAGACGAGACAAGAGCCCUUUUUUAAAAGAAAAGAAAAGAUGGCCGCUCGACCAGCAGCACUCAGGUGCAGUGUCGGCGGCAGGUGUCAAUUAUCCACACAGUGAGGGGGAGGGCAUUUCGCCACGUGGCACUACAGUGUGGCCUCGGCGACUCUUGGGGCGCAGUGGGGCAAACGACAGCCACGAGUCUGGAGCUGGGGUGGGGGCAGGGUGAGGCCACGUGGUAUGGAGUUGUGGCUUUGCAGGCACAGUGGGAAUCGCCGCAUGGCAUCGUGUUGGGACGUGGCAGCGACAGAAAGGGACACCACGAGGUGGCUGAGCAGGAGUGAUGUGGCGAGAGGCACCCUGAGAUGGAGGCACACACAAAGCCACGUGGCACAGAGCCAUGGCACCGGGUUAACCCAGCUAUGCAAAUGGGGCGAAGGUGUGCGACUCCGCUCAAAACAUCCAGUGGCCCGCUUGCCCAACAUCAGCUGGCAAAAGUUGCUGCCCAAGCACAAAAAUCCCUCACGCCUAUUUAAGUCCUUAAUUCUUCCACCCUAGUGGCCAGCCUCUUGUAUCCAAUUGGCUGCUGGUACCCUUCUCUCGUCCCUCUGUGGCCUAGUUGUUCCUACUUGGCUGCCUCUGCCUCUGUUCCUUCCAGCAAUUUCGGCUGCCUCCCUAGGCCUCUUGAGGUUCUGCACCUGCCUCUUCCUUAGGCUGCAGGCAGCCACCUUGAAAACCCUGCCUAUGUGGACCUCCUAAAUCCCCUUCGCAUGCUAGACUGGGGGCAUUAGAGCACUCACCGAGAACACAGCUUCUGCAACAGGAGCUCCUUAGAGGUUAUGACCACUGGCAAUCUCGGCUGAGUCUUUUGAGAAACGGCACUUUGCCCGCCCUACUUUUUUCCCAACCAUGAGGGCUAGAAAUCCACCUUAUUUUAAUAAAAGCAAAAGCUGAAACUUCUUAAGGUUCUGUGAAUAUCCUGGCUGCCCACGUAAACGUUUAUUUGCCUGGGGCCUACCACCAGUUGGGUUUUUCUUUUUUUGCAUGCCUGGGUUAAUCUUGUGGUCAUGAAGGGAAAAGGGUACAUUGCUGGCCUUGAUGGGAUGUCGGAUGCACAAGGUUUACCCUACGUCAUGGAGUUAUGGGCACAUGUGUGAUGGGAGCCACGUAGUACAGAAACGUGGCGUGGCUCAGACAAGCAGCGUGCUACGCCACAUGGUUAACGGUUGUGGGAAGGACUUAGCUGUAUGGCACAGAACUACGGUUUCAGAGGAGCAGGAGUGGGGCGGUUAGCUGCAUGGCACAGUUGUGGCGGGGGUGUCGGUGGCCAGCUGUCGAUUUUAAGAGUCACAGCACAGGUGAAGUGGUAAAAUGGGGCCAGCCACAAGGCCUACAGUCAUCGUACAAAUUCCCCCGCACACUUUUCCCCACAGCUCGUAAUCCCUGACGUGGAGAUUGAGAGGGGAGGAGUCAAGGAGUCGUCCCCCGCCCCCCGCUCUUGGACGGAGCAUCACUCUGAGGAUCCCAGCAAUGAGCAGCAGCAAGAGCAACCCCUCCCUGGCCUGUGUCUUGGGGGGGAGAAAGCAGUCCGUGCACUGGGUCCCGGUGUCCAAAUGGCUGCAAUGGGGAGAGCAAAUUAUGGAGCACCCCCUUGUAAUGCUGGGCUCUUGUUUCUUUGGCAGCUGAGCAUUGGGGGAGGGGAAGGGGGAUGCUCCAUCCACAGCACAGAUAUGGUCAGUAUCCGAGACCUCUCGCCCCUUGGAAUCGGUGCAGGAGCACAUGGCGCCGAAGGAGAGAGCACAAGAGACCCAGAGUGGGAGCACCUACCCACACCCUACUUUUAUGUCGCUUUGUCUUCCCUGUUCCAGCCCCUCAAUCUUGGCUACCCAUCCGGAGCUGGAAUUCCUGGUUGCCACAGAUACCCCUCUGGCAGAAGAACGUUAAGAGAGACUCCCAACUUCUAUGGGAAAUUGUCUUGUUAUCUUCCCCGUUCUGGAAGUGCAGAAAUACGCAAUACAUUUCCAAAUGGAGGCGGCGUGGAAAUAGCCUUUGAAAUGAGGACAAAAUGAAGCUUGUUGUUGAAUAUGCAAGGUGUGAGCUGGAGCACAACAGCACGCAUGUAUAUGGGGACCACACUACAACUUGCGAAGAAGCUGUUUUGCAGACUAUUAAAGCCAGGGUUGUGUGUACUCUGUGGUAUAAAUGGAGUGAGACUUGUUUGCUUUUGUAUUACCAGUGUGAAUUCAGGGUGUGAUAUGAAUUCACUCAUCUGGUAUGACCAAUGAGAUGCAGCUCUACAUCAGCUGAACAUCAGGUGUUUCACAAGAGAGUGUAUAAAGCAGGCUUGGAAUUAGCAACUUGUCUGAUCACUGAUGGGGGACUAUUCACUGCUUCCAGGCAAUUUACCACAAGGCUUUUGUAAACAGGAACAGAUCUGGG